AGUAGCGCAGCUGCUACAGCAUUGGCCUGUAGGCCCAAAGAUGGCACCACACCCCUGCCCGCUAUAA
RNAcentral lists this transfer RNA (67 nucleotides) under Spathoderma clenchi. RNAcentral's name for it is "tRNA-Tyr". Lineage: Eukaryota; Metazoa; Mollusca; Caudofoveata; Chaetodermatida; Prochaetodermatidae. The record is from RNAcentral.